AAGGGAGCUUGCUCCUGAGGUGACGAGCGGCGGACGGGUGAGUAAUGCCUGGGAAUAUACCUUUAGGUGGGGGACAACAGUUGGAAACGACUGCUAAUACCGCAUAAUGUCUACGGACCAAAGGGGGCCUCUAUUUAUAAGCUCUCGCCUUUAGAUUAGCCCAGGUGGGAUUAGCUAGUUGGUGAGGUAAUGGCUCACCAAGGCGACGAUCCCUAGCUGGUUUGAGAGGAUGAUCAGCCACACUGGGACUGAGACACGGCCCAGACUCC
This 269-nucleotide ribosomal RNA is filed under the name uncultured bacterium. Its description in RNAcentral is "partial 16S ribosomal RNA". It matches the Rfam family "Bacterial small subunit ribosomal RNA", at positions 72 to 339 of the family's 1533-position model. The record is from RNAcentral.